UUAGAGCAUUGUGAAUGGACUAAGAGGC
RNAcentral lists this non-coding RNA (28 nucleotides) under Mus musculus (house mouse). Lineage: Eukaryota; Metazoa; Chordata; Mammalia; Rodentia; Muridae. The record is from RNAcentral. RNAcentral also lists the same sequence under 1 other name.